RNAcentral lists this ribosomal RNA (253 nucleotides) under uncultured bacterium. Its description in RNAcentral is "partial 16S ribosomal RNA". It matches the Rfam family "Bacterial small subunit ribosomal RNA", at positions 524 to 776 of the family's 1533-position model. The record is from RNAcentral.
AACGUAGGAGACGAGCGUUAUCCGGAAUUACUGGGCGUAAAGGGCGCGUAGGCGGCGUGUCAAGUCAGGCGUGAAAGCCCCGGGCUCAACCUGGGAACCGCGCUUGAGACUGGCAUGCUCGAGUUCGGGAGAGGAUGGUGGAAUUCCCAGUGUAGAGGUGAAAUUCGUAGAUAUUGGGAAGAACACCGAUGGCGAAGGCAGCCAUCUGGACCGACACUGACGCUGAGGCGCGAAAGCGUGGGGAGCAAACAGG